Molecule: ribosomal RNA, 255 nt
Filed under: uncultured bacterium
Lineage: Bacteria
Description: partial 16S ribosomal RNA
Rfam family: Bacterial small subunit ribosomal RNA
Source: RNAcentral
UACAGAGGUCUCAAGCGUUGUUCGGAUUCAUUGGGCGUAAAGGGUGCGUAGGCGGCGCGGUAAGUCGGGUGUGAAAUCUCGGAGCUUAACUCCGAAACUGCAUUCGAUACUGCCGUGCUUGAGGACUGGAGAGGAGACUGGAAUUUACGGUGUAGCGGUGAAAUGCGUAGAUAAUCGUAAGGAAGACCAGUGGCGAAGGCGGGUCUCGUGGACAGUUCCUGACGCUGAGGCACGAAGGCCAGGGGAGCAAACGGG